RNAcentral lists this ribosomal RNA (855 nucleotides) under Lactococcus lactis subsp. lactis. Its description in RNAcentral is "bacterial SSU rRNA". It matches the Rfam family "Bacterial small subunit ribosomal RNA", at positions 56 to 895 of the family's 1533-position model. Lineage: Bacteria; Bacillati; Bacillota; Bacilli; Lactobacillales; Streptococcaceae. The record is from RNAcentral.
UGCAGUUGAGCGCUGAAGGUUGGUACUUGUACCGACUGGAUGAGCAGCGAACGGGUGAGUAACGCGUGGGGAAUCUGCCUUUGAGCGGGGGACAACAUUUGGAAACGAAUGCUAAUACCGCAUAAAAACUUUAAACACAAGUUUUAAGUUUGAAAGAUGCAAUUGCAUCACUCAAAGAUGAUCCCGCGUUGUAUUAGCUAGUUGGUGAGGUAAAGGCUCACCAAGGCGAUGAUACAUAGCCGACCUGAGAGGGUGAUCGGCCACAUUGGGACUGAGACACGGCCCAAACUCCUACGGGAGGCAGCAGUAGGGAAUCUUCGGCAAUGGACGAAAGUCUGACCGAGCAACGCCGCGUGAGUGAAGAAGGUUUUCGGAUCGUAAAACUCUGUUGGUAGAGAAGAACGUUGGUGAGAGUGGAAAGCUCAUCAAGUGACGGUAACUACCCAGAAAGGGACGGCUAACUACGUGCCAGCAGCCGCGGUAAUACGUAGGUCCCGAGCGUUGUCCGGAUUUAUUGGGCGUAAAGCGAGCGCAGGUGGUUUAUUAAGUCUGGUGUAAAAGGCAGUGGCUCAACCAUUGUAUGCAUUGGAAACUGGUAGACUUGAGUGCAGGAGAGGAGAGUGGAAUUCCAUGUGUAGCGGUGAAAUGCGUAGAUAUAUGGAGGAACACCGGUGGCGAAAGCGGCUCUCUGGCCUGUAACUGACACUGAGGCUCGAAAGCGUGGGGAGCAAACAGGAUUAGAUACCCUGGUAGUCCACGCCGUAAACGAUGAGUGCUAGAUGUAGGGAGCUAUAAGUUCUCUGUAUCGCAGCUAACGCAAUAAGCACUCCGCCUGGGGAGUACGACCGCAAGGUU